AAAUUGAAGAGUUUGAUCAUGGCUCAGAUUGAACGCUGGCGGCAGGCCUAACACAUGCAAGUCGAGCGGUAGCACAGAGAGCUUGCUCUCGGGUGACGAGCGGCGGACGGGUGAGUAAUGUCUGGGAAACUGCCUGAUGGAGGGGGAUAACUACUGGAAACGGUAGCUAAUACCGCAUAANGUCGCAAGACCAAAGUGGGGGACCUUCGGGCCUCAUGCCAUCAGAUGUGCCCAGAUGGGAUUAGCUNGUAGGUGGGGUAACGGCUCACCUAGGCGACGAUCCCUAGCUGGUCUGAGAGGAUGACCAGCCACACUGGAACUGAGACACGGUCCAGACUCCUACGGGAGGCAGCAGUGGGGAAUAUUGCACAAUGGGCGCAAGCCUGAUGCAGCCAUGCCGCGUGUGUGAAGAAGGCCUUCGGGUUGUAAAGCACUUUCAGCGGGGAGGAAGGCGNUNAGGUUAAUAACCUNNNCGAUUGACGUUACCCGCAGAAGAAGCACCGGCUAACUCCGUGCCAGCAGCCGCGGUAAUACGGAGGGUGCAAGCGUUAAUCGGAAUUACUGGGCGUAAAGCGCACGCAGGCGGUCUGUCAAGUCGGAUGUGAAAUCCCCGGGCUCAACCUGGGAACUGCAUUCGAAACUGGCAGGCUAGAGUCUUGUAGAGGGGGGUAGAAUUCCAGGUGUAGCGGUGAAAUGCGUAGAGAUCUGGAGGAAUACCGGUGGCGAAGGCGGCCCCCUGGACAAAGACUGACGCUCAGGUGCGAAAGCGUGGGGAGCAAACAGGAUUAGAUACCCUGGUAGUCCACGCCGUAAACGAUGUCGAUUUGGAGGUUGUGCCCUUGAGGCGUGGCUUCCGGAGCUAACGCGUUAAAUCGACCGCCUGGGGAGUACGGCCGCAAGGUUAAAACUCAAAUGAAUUGACGGGGGCCCGCACAAGCGGUGGAGCAUGUGGUUUAAUUCGAUGCAACGCGAAGAACCUUACCUGGUCUUGACAUCCACAGAACUUNNCAGAGAUGNNUUGGUGCCUUCGGGAACUGUGAGACAGGUGCUGCAUGGCUGUCGUCAGCUCGUGUUGUGAAAUGUUGGGUUAAGUCCCGCAACGAGCGCAACCCUUAUCCUUUGUUGCCAGCGGUNCGGCCGGGAACUCAAAGGAGACUGCCAGUGAUAAACUGGAGGAAGGUGGGGAUGACGUCAAGUCAUCAUGGCCCUUACGACCAGGGCUACACACGUGCUACAAUGGCAUAUACAAAGAGAAGCGACCUCGCGAGAGCAAGCGGACCUCAUAAAGUAUGUCGUAGUCCGGAUUGGAGUCUGCAACUCGACUCCAUGAAGUCGGAAUCGCUAGUAAUCGUAGAUCAGAAUGCUACGGUGAAUACGUUCCCGGGCCUUGUACACACCGCCCGUCACACCAUGGGAGUGGGUUGCAAAAGAAGUAGGUAGCUUAACCUUCGGGAGGGCGCUUACCACUUUGUGAUUCAUGACUGGGGUGAAGUCGUAACAAGGUAACCGUAGGGGAACCUGCGGUUGGAUCACCUCCUUACCUUAAAGAA
Molecule: ribosomal RNA, 1550 nt
Filed under: Klebsiella pneumoniae
Lineage: Bacteria; Pseudomonadati; Pseudomonadota; Gammaproteobacteria; Enterobacterales; Enterobacteriaceae
Description: bacterial SSU rRNA
Rfam family: Bacterial small subunit ribosomal RNA
Source: RNAcentral